UUACGGCAAUAUCACGUUGAAACACCGGUCCCCGUAUAAUCACUGUUAAGCAACGUCGAGCCUGGUCAGUACUUAGAUGGGUUACCACUUGGAAAUACCAGGUGCUGUAAG
Non-coding RNA from Acanthosepion pharaonis, 111 nucleotides. The record is from the annotation of a GenBank genome assembly. Lineage: Eukaryota; Metazoa; Mollusca; Cephalopoda; Sepiida; Sepiidae.